AUGGAGGCACCGCCUCUCAUGGUUGUGUUAGAAUAUAAGCAUAACUUUAAAAUAGUAUCCACUGAUUGUAUGAGGUGCUACUUGUAAUGCUGAGGUUAUCCCUCAAAAGCAUUGAUUCAAUCAUUUUCACUUCCAUGGGAGUGCAAAAUAAACAUAUGCCUAGGGCCCCCAUAGGAGCCAACGAAGUCAUUUUUGCUUCAGAGCUAAACCAGUUUUUCUUCUCUCCACAGCAAAUAUCUUGACAGUGAUCAUCCUCUCCCAGCUGGUGGCAAGAAGGCAGAAGUCCUCCUACAACUAUCUCUUGGCACUUGCUGCUGCCGACAUCUUGGUCCUCUUUUUCAUAGUGUUUGUGGACUUCCUGUUGGAAGAUUUCAUCUUGAACAUGCAGAUGCCUCAGGUCCCCGACAAGAUCAUAGAAGUGCUGGAAUUCUCAUCCAUCCACACCUCCAUAUGGAUUACUGUUCCAUUAACCAUUGACAGAUAUAUCGCUGUCUGCCACCCGCUCAAGUACCACACAGUCUCAUACCCAGCCCGCACCCGGAAAGUCAUUGUAAGUGUUUACAUCACCUGCUUCCUUACCAGCAUCCCCUAUUACUGGUGGCCCAACAUCUGGACUGAAGACUACAUCAGCACCUCUGUGCAUCACGUCCUCAUCUGGAUCCACUGCUUCACCGUCUACCUGGUGCCCUGCUCCAUCUUUUUCAUCUUGAACUCAAUCAUUGUGUACAAGCUCAGGAGGAAGAGCAAUUUUCGUCUCCGUGGCUACUCCACGGGGAAGACCACCGCCAUCUUGUUCACCAUCACCUCCAUCUUUGCCACACUUUGGGCCCCCCGCAUCAUCAUGAUUCUUUACCACCUCUAUGGGGCGCCCAUCCAGAACCGCUGGCUGGUGCACAUCAUGUCCGACAUUGCCAACAUGCUAGCCCUUCUGAACACAGCCAUCAACUUCUUCCUCUACUGCUUCAUCAGCAAGCGGUUCCGCACCAUGGCAGCCGCCACGCUCAAGGCUUUCUUCAAGUGCCAGAAGCAACCUGUACAGUUCUACACCAAUCAUAACUUUUCCAUAACAAGUAGCCCCUGGAUCUCGCCGGCAAACUCACACUGCAUCAAGAUGCUGGUGUACCAGUAUGACAAAAAUGGAAAACCUAUAAAAGUAUCCCCGUGA
Nomascus leucogenys (northern white-cheeked gibbon) is the source of this 1165-nucleotide RNA transcript. It is a transcript of the gene named probable G-protein coupled receptor 139 pseudogene, with no coding region annotated. NCBI's taxonomy places the organism in Eukaryota, Metazoa, Chordata, Mammalia, Primates, Hylobatidae. The transcript has a single exon. The record is from RefSeq and is a predicted model, not a curated record.